UGGGGAAUAUUGCGCAAUGGGCGAAAGCCUGACGCAGCGACGCCGCGUGAGGGAUGAAGGCCUUCGGGUUGUAAACCUCUUUCAGCAGGGAAGAAGCGCAAGUGACGGUACCUGCAGAAGAAGCACCGGCUAACUACGUGCCAGCAGCCGCGGUAAUACGUAGGGUGCAAGCGUUGUCCGGAAUUAUUGGGCGUAAAGAGCUCGUAGGCGGUCUGUCGCGUCUGCUGUGAAAAUCCAGGGCUCAACCCUGGACCUGCAGUGGGUACGGGCAGACUAGAGUGCGGUAGGGAGAUCGGAAUUCCUGGUGUAGCGGUGAAAUGCGCAGAUAUCAGGAGGAACACCGGUGGCGAAGGCGGAUCUUCUUGGGCCGUAACUGACGCUGAGGAGCGAAAGCAUGGGUAGCGAACA
This 408-nucleotide ribosomal RNA is filed under the name uncultured Kineosporiaceae bacterium. RNAcentral's name for it is "bacterial SSU rRNA". It matches the Rfam family "Bacterial small subunit ribosomal RNA", at positions 355 to 774 of the family's 1533-position model. The record is from RNAcentral. Lineage: Bacteria; Bacillati; Actinomycetota; Actinomycetes; Kineosporiales; Kineosporiaceae.